RNAcentral lists this ribosomal RNA (498 nucleotides) under uncultured bacterium. RNAcentral describes it as "partial 16S ribosomal RNA". It matches the Rfam family "Bacterial small subunit ribosomal RNA", at positions 28 to 507 of the family's 1533-position model. The record is from RNAcentral.
GACGAACGCUGGCGGCGUGCCUAAUACAUGCAAGUCGAACGAGAGCGCCCGGUGCUUGCACUGGUCAAUCUAGUGGCGGACGGGUGAGUAACACGUGGGUAACCUGCCCAUCAGAGGGGGAUAACAUUCGGAAACGGAUGCUAAAACCGCAUAGGUCUUCGAACCGCAUGGUUUGAAGUGGAAAAGAGGCGCAAGCUUCUGCUGAUGGAUGGACCCGCGGUGCAUUAGCUAGUUGGUGAGGUAACGGCUCACCAAGGCCGUGAUGCAUAGCCGACCUGAGAGGGUGAUCGGCCACAUUGGGACUGAGACACGGCCCAAACUCCUACGGGAGGCAGCAGUAGGGAAUGUUGCGCAAUCGACGCAAGUCUGACGGAGCAACGCCGCGUGUAUGAAGAAGGUUUUCGGAUCGUAAAGCUCUUUUGUUGGAGAAGAAUAAGUACUAGAGUAACUGUUAGUGCCUUGACGGUAUCUAACCAGAAAGCCACGGCUAACUACGUG